RNAcentral lists this ribosomal RNA (254 nucleotides) under uncultured prokaryote. Its description in RNAcentral is "partial 16S ribosomal RNA". It matches the Rfam family "Bacterial small subunit ribosomal RNA", at positions 524 to 776 of the family's 1533-position model. The record is from RNAcentral.
UACGGAGAACUCAAGCGUUACCCGGAAUCACUGGGCGUAAAGCGUUGCGUAGGCGGUUUUGCAAGUCGGAUCUUAAAGGCCAAGGCUCAACCUUGGAAAUGGGUACGAUACUACAAAACUUGAGGAUGGUAGAGGUCAGUGGAAUUGCUGGUGUAGGAGUGAGAUCCGUAGAUAUCAGCAGGAACACCGAUGGCGAAGGCAGCUGACUGGGCCACUCCUGACGCUGAGGCACGAAAGCGUAGGUAGCGAGCGGG